GUACUCACUUCGGCAGCCCAUACCCUGAAACUGGACCCAUACAGAGAAAGUUAGCACGGCUCCUACCCAAGGAUGACACUCAAAUUCGUGACACGUUCCGUGUUUUG
This is a small nuclear RNA of Ailuropoda melanoleuca (giant panda), 107 nucleotides long. NCBI's taxonomy places the organism in Eukaryota, Metazoa, Chordata, Mammalia, Carnivora, Ursidae. The record is from Ensembl.